AAAUAAGAAGCAAACUUUGCAUUUAGUUUCGACCUAAAAGUUUGGCCUAUUAGCCCUUAUUUA
RNAcentral lists this transfer RNA (63 nucleotides) under Erotylidae sp. BMNH 1274392. RNAcentral describes it as "tRNA-Arg". Lineage: Eukaryota; Metazoa; Arthropoda; Insecta; Coleoptera; Erotylidae. The record is from RNAcentral.